AUACGGAGGAUCCGAGCGUUAUCCGGAUUUAUUGGGUUUAAAGGGUGCGCAGGCGGCCAUUUAAGUCAGCGGUUAAAUCGUGGGGCUCAACCCCAUUCUGCCGUUGAUACUGGGUGGCUUGAUUGCGGUCGAGGUUGGCGGAAUUCGUUGUGUAGCGGUGAAAUGCAUAGAUAUGACGAAGAACACCGAUUGCGUAGGCAGCUGACCAGACCGCAAAUGACGAUCAUGCACGAAAGUGCGGGGAUCGAACAGGAUUAGAUACCCUGGUAAGCCGCACAGUAAACGAUGAAUACGUGUUUUCGGCGAUAUAAUGUCGGAGGUAAAGCGAAAGCGAUAAGUAUUCCACCUGGGGAGUACGCCGUCAACGGUGAAACUCAAAUGAAUUGACGGGG
Molecule: ribosomal RNA, 392 nt
Filed under: uncultured bacterium
Lineage: Bacteria
Description: partial 16S ribosomal RNA
Rfam family: Bacterial small subunit ribosomal RNA
Source: RNAcentral